CGGCGGACGGGUGAGUAACGCGUGGGGAACCUGCCCUAUACAGGGGGAUAACAGUUAGAAAUGACUGCUAAUACCGCAUAAGCGCACGGAGCCGCAUGGCGCUGAGUGAAAAACGAUAGUGGUAUAGGAGGGACCCGCGUCUGAUUAGGUAGUUGGUGAGGUAACGGCCCACCAAGCCGACGAUCAGUAGCCGACCUGAGAGGGUGACCGGCCACAUUGGGACUGAGACACGGCCCAAACUCCUACGGAAGGCAGCAG
This 258-nucleotide ribosomal RNA is filed under the name uncultured bacterium. Its description in RNAcentral is "partial 16S ribosomal RNA". It matches the Rfam family "Bacterial small subunit ribosomal RNA", at positions 96 to 354 of the family's 1533-position model. The record is from RNAcentral.